Molecule: RNase P RNA, 355 nt
Filed under: Parabacteroides sp.
Lineage: Bacteria; Pseudomonadati; Bacteroidota; Bacteroidia; Bacteroidales; Tannerellaceae
Description: RNase P RNA component class A
Rfam family: Bacterial RNase P class A
About the family: Ribonuclease P (RNase P) is a ubiquitous endoribonuclease, found in archaea, bacteria and eukarya as well as chloroplasts and mitochondria.
Source: RNAcentral
GCAGUUUGCCGGUCUGUCGCUCAUAUUUUGAAUAUGAGAGGAACGUCCGGGCAACAUAGAGCACCAUACUUCUUAACGAGAAGCUGUUCGCGAGGGUAGAGUAACGUAACAGAGAAUAACCGCCGGAUUCGUUCGGUAAGGGUGAAAAGGCGAGGUAAGAGCUCACCAGAUUUUAUAGUAAUAUAGAAUGCUGUACGUCUUAUGGGUUGUAAGGUCAUGUAUACCAGCGUAUGUAGGAUUGCUCGUCCGAUGCUGGGGGGUAGACCGCUAGAGCUUAUUGGUGACAAUAAGACGAGAUAAAUGGCAGACGCUUUUUUUGAAAGUACAGAACCCGGCUUAUAGGCAAACUGCUUUU